Molecule: long non-coding RNA, 1387 nt
Filed under: Chinchilla lanigera (long-tailed chinchilla)
Lineage: Eukaryota; Metazoa; Chordata; Mammalia; Rodentia; Chinchillidae
Description: lncRNA (ENSCLAG00000026305.1)
Source: RNAcentral
CAAACAUCAUGCUGGGACAAGAUCCCACGAGAUCAGCCAGCCCUGGGACUUGGCGGGGAGCAUGCGUGAGCAAGCGUGCGGGGCACGCUGCCUCCUCUCCCACGGCUGGUCUCAGGCACAGCUGUGACGUGGAUGUGCUUGGUCUUUAGUGUCUCUUCUGGGCUGCCUGCUCUGCUAUGGGGCUAACAGCUCCCACUGGCCCCAGGCACAUCUGCUCCUCCUCUGCCCCAGCUUCUCUCGUCCUGGCUGCAUCCGGCUGGCCUCUUCUUUUCCCUGGGCCAAUAUUUCCAUCUGCUUCAUCCCCAGGGGCCUUCCCAUCUGCUUCCCCUCCCUGGGAUCCAGGAGUGGAAUAAGCUUCUUGUUAGACGACAGCGCCUCAGACCUCAGCAUCCAUCUGUUCAUCCUGAAUCUGGAACACUUUAUCCAUUGAAGGACUUAAACAGGAGUUGGAAAGAGCUCAGCAAGGCUGGCCAGAGACUCAAAGAACAUUUGGCCCAAGAAAAUCCCCAAAGAGAAAGAGCUGGUGAAAGGGAGGCUGAAAUCCUUGUGGCCACCUCCCACAGAGCAGGGAGGGUAAGAAGGGCUGAUACAAGGAGGAUCUGGGUCAGACAGGAGGUUGCCUGUAUGUGCUGGUGAGGAUGGAGCUGAUGAGAUUUCAAUCUCCAGCAAUAAAACACUGGAGCAAGCAGCUUGGGUCAAGACUGGAAGGUGUGCUGAGGAAUUUGUUUGGUGGAAAACCUUUGGUUGGGAGACAAAGUUUUACCUCUUUUCUUAAUGGAUGGCUUUUUUGUUGUUAAAUUUUUGUUGUGGAAAUGCAGUUGGCUCUCUGCAAGUUAAACAAACCAUAGAUUGAAAUUAUUUUUACAAUUACAUCUAUAUUGAACAUGUACAAACUUUUCUUGGGAAAAUAUUGUAGUAAGUAUUAUAGGCAAUCUAAUGAGGACUUCAAAUAUAUAGGAGGAUGUGCAUACAUUAUAUGCUAAUCUUAUAUCAUUUUAUAUAAGGAACUUGAGCAUCUGCAGAUUUUGGUAUCUAUGAGGGAUCCUGGAACCAAAUCCCAUGGUUACUCAGACAUGGCUGUAUGUCAUGCAUUCAUAAAAUCCAACCGAAGGGAUGAAUUUUCACAAAUGGAACCCACCCAUGUAGCCAGCAUCCCCUCAGAGAAACAAUAUGACUGACAUUUUUAAAUGCCCCCUGCCCUGUCUAGGCCCUCUUUCAGUUACUACCUUCUCAAAGGUGACCACUAUCCUAAUUUCUAAUUGUAUAUGCUGUUAAUUUUGUCUGUCCUUGAAAUCCAUACAAAUAGAAUCAUUCAGUGUAUUUUUUGGGUGUUUUUCAACAUUGUAAGUCUUGUGUGUUGUGGUAGUUCAUUAUUUUUAUUGCUGAA